RNAcentral lists this ribosomal RNA (567 nucleotides) under uncultured archaeon. RNAcentral's name for it is "bacterial SSU rRNA". It matches the Rfam family "Archaeal small subunit ribosomal RNA", at positions 288 to 856 of the family's 1478-position model. The record is from RNAcentral.
GCCGGGAGAUGGACACUGAGACAAAGGUCCAGGCUCUACGGAGUGCAGCAGUCGCGAAACCUUCGCAAUGCGCGCAAGCGUGACGAGGGAACCCCAAGUGCGCAUAUACAAUAUGUGCUUUUCUCAAGUCUAAAAAACUUGGGGAAUAAGGGCUGGGUAAGACUGGUGCCAGCCUCCGCGGUAACACCAGCAGCUCAAGUGGUGAUCGCGUUUACUGGGUUUGAAGCGUGCGUAGUCGGUUCAGCAAGUCUUCUGUGAAAUCCUCAGGCUUAACUUGAGGGAUUGCAGAAGAUACUACUGGGCUCGAGACCGGGUAAGGAGUGAGGUAUUCUAGGGGUAGCGGUGAAAUGCUAUAAUCCCUGGAGGACCACCCGUAGCGAAGGCGUCACUCUGGAACGGGUCUGACGAUGAGGUACGAGAGCUAGGGGAGCAAACAGGAUUAGAUACCCUGGUAGUCCUAGCCGUAAACGAUGCGGAUUUAGUGUUCCUCAAACCUCGUGUUCGGGGAGCGCUGAAGGGAAACCGUUAAAUCCGCCACCUGGGGAGUACGGUCGCAAGGCUGAAACU